AAAAGAACUUUGGAGAGAGAGUCAAAUAGUGCGUGAAACCGUUGGGAGGGAAGCGAAUGAGGCCGGCUCGGUCCUCUGUGGGAACAGGCAGAUCGAUGAGCGCCCUCUGGCGAAGGGAUCCCCUUCGGGACCCGUCGCCGGUGGGACCGCUCGUCGCUCUCGACCGCACUCCCGCGUGGACCAGUCAGCGGCAGUUUCCGCUGCGCCGUGCGCCCUGCGGGGCAGUUGGCCGAGUCCUUCGGGUCUCGGUGCUGGCCCCUGGGGCGCGACGCGGCGGAGACUGAGGAGAGUGGCGGCCCUCGCCCGAGCAGCGCAAGCCACAGGGCCGGACGGCUGCGACGACUGCGUCGGACCGGUGGGGACUGCGUGCAGUGCCCGCUGAGCGAGACGGAGGCGUCGCGGUGCAGUCACGAUGUGCGCUGAGGUCGCUGGCGCCUAGCCGGUCCCAUCCGACCCGUCUUG
RNAcentral lists this small RNA (462 nucleotides) under Suberea laboutei. Its description in RNAcentral is "sequence contains 28S rRNA gene". The record is from RNAcentral. Lineage: Eukaryota; Metazoa; Porifera; Demospongiae; Verongiida; Aplysinellidae.